This is a long non-coding RNA of Populus euphratica (Euphrates poplar), 566 nucleotides long. RefSeq lists it as uncharacterized. The record is from RefSeq and is a predicted model, not a curated record. The transcript is spliced from 2 exons. Lineage: Eukaryota; Viridiplantae; Streptophyta; Magnoliopsida; Malpighiales; Salicaceae.
UACCCAAAGAAGCAGCAGCAAUUAGUACUCUCCCAAUGUUGUCGAAGGACCAAGGACCAAGGACCCAGCAAGCGGGCUAUGCAGUUGAUGCAUAAUCAUCAUUACGGGCCAUCUUUUCUGAGCCAUCACCCACAAUCGACCAAGAAAAUGAGCAGCCACCACAAAAACAAAGGCUCCCCUGGAGACUCAUACCACUACCAAAGCCAACCAAGGCUGUUGCACAGGAUCCUGAACAGACCUGCAGCAGAGACCAAGCCAUAGAACACGCAGUUGUCCCCGACGACAUAACAAAACUCAAAAGAAAAAUGCGCAAACGAUCUCUAUGAGCCAGGAAGAACAAAGCAAAAUCAUCUACAGCUGAGAGCCCUAAAAAACAAACCAUAUUGAAACCAUGAGUAAAUUGCACCACAUCUUGGGGAACAAAAGAGGCCUGGAGAUCAACUUUGCAAGUCCACGUUCCAUGGAGUCUGGAUCCACAGUAAUUUUUCCACGCAUUUUAGAUUUUCUAUUAAUUAAUAAUUAAUUUCUUAAGAGUGUAAAAGCUUGGCAGAAGCUGCAUAAAAAAA